UACGAGUGGUGCAAGCGUUAUUCGGAAUCAUUGGGCGUACAGGGUGCGUAGGCGGUAUGUUAAGUUUGCUGUUAAAUCCUCCGGCCUAACCGGAGAUAGGCGGCGGAAACUGGCGUACUAGAGGGUGGAAGAGAGAAGUGGAAUUCUCGGUGUAGCGGUAAAAUGCGUAGAUAUCGAGAGGAACACCGAUGGCGAAGGCAGCUUCUUGGUCCAUUCCUGACGCUGAAGCACGAAAGCCAGGGGAGCAAACGGG
This 253-nucleotide ribosomal RNA is filed under the name uncultured bacterium. Its description in RNAcentral is "partial 16S ribosomal RNA". It matches the Rfam family "Bacterial small subunit ribosomal RNA", at positions 524 to 776 of the family's 1533-position model. The record is from RNAcentral.